Molecule: long non-coding RNA, 1695 nt
Organism: Diorhabda carinulata
Lineage: Eukaryota; Metazoa; Arthropoda; Insecta; Coleoptera; Chrysomelidae
Exons: 2
Source: RefSeq, a predicted model, not a curated record
GGAAGUUACUUAAUCCCUAAUAAUAAAUUCGCCAUUUUAAUAAACUUUAUUAAGUAUUAAUCAAAAUGAAUUUAAAGAUUUUACCUAUAAAAGGAAAAUUGCUAAAUACAUUUUUCUUUGAUUUAUCAAUUUUUUUACCACUAAACGUUUAAAAUGAAGAAUCAGCUGAUCAUGGAAGUUAUUCAAUAUUUUAUUUUGAGCCGGAAUUCACUGCAAUUGUGAAUUGGUUUAAGAAUAAAGUAUUUUUCGAUAUUGGAUUUUUUUGCUCAAUGCAAAAGUAGUGAAUAUUAUUAUUAAAGGAACAAUUUAUUUAAUAGCUGACUGAACAUGGAGAUCUCCAAUUUUUUCUGCAUAUCGGUGAAGAAUAAAUUCCCAACCGAAGUAUCGAAAAGAUUGUUUAUCGGUUUGGAAUAUUUAAUGGAAAACGUUAUUAUCAUCAAUAGAACUAAACUGAGUUGGUAAUGUAAGUGUAACAAUUCGAAAUUGACCAAUUUUUGUUGUACUGCUAGUUCCACUAGAGGCUGUCCGCCGUUGUCCCAUAUAUUUUCGAAAUUUAACUGGGCUUUAGAAACCCUUUGAGAUUGUAUAGCGGUCUGCAUAAACGAAUCUAAGAAUUUGUUCAAUAUAUUCGAAAAAAGGGACAUUUGGUAAUCUGUUAGACCGGUCUCUUGUUUACACAGUCGUUCCUUUGGAACCUUUCCAACUUUAUUUAUCAAUUUGCUUGCACUCUCGCUGACUAUUUUCAAAUGGGUGUUCCAUAUUAGUUGGUACAGACCUAAAAAAUAAUUUUUAUUCAGAUUUUGAUACUCGAACAAAGCUGUAGAAAUUACAGAAAGAUCUAUACCGAAUAAAUAACCCGGAAACUCUGAAAUAAGAGUUCUAGCUCAAUUUGGGCAAAAAAGGCAAGCGGAGAAGUGAAUGGUGGUACGAGAAGUGUCAAAAAUGGGUCUAAUACAAUAAGAUAGAAAAGGGAAGCCAAUAGAAACAAAAAAAAACUGAAUGAGGAUGGUGAAAGAAGAAUAAAAAGAUAAUAGAUAGAUGAAAAAAUCAAUAAGAUGGAAAAAGGAAGCAAUGGAAACAAAAAAACUGAGAAAAGAAUGUAGAAGAUAAAUUAAAAAAAUUGAUACAUGAAAAAAUUAAUGGAUGGAGAGCUAGGGACAACAAAAGAAAUGGAAAAGGGUAGUAAACAAGCUGAAAUGGUGCGAAGACAAUGACUGAGCUUUCCGAAGCACAUAAAGGACCUGGUGUCAUUGUAUACAUAUACAUAUCCUGUUUCGUGAUGAUUUAUUUCGAUUUUGAGUCUACUUUUGUACAGGAGGAAUUUUUAUCUGUUAUUUUGGACUAAUUUUUUAUUAAACGAAACCUGAAAUCAAUAUAAAUAAUCACGAAAUGGAUGUAAAAAGGACUAAGAAGUAAAAUUUACAAAUAUUCAGUUACCUUGUCUUAUAUGAACGUCUCUAAUACAAUUCAAACAACUUAUUGCCGCUUCUAAUAAAUCUAAAUUUUGCAUAUCCUUUUGCCAUGCCGAAGCAUAUUCCCAGGACAUGUUCGUUAACAGAUAAUUUGAAUUAACGCUGUAAGGAAAUUGUUUUUUUAACAAAUUUAUAUGUAAAAACAAAUUUUCUUCUUUAAUCGAAUGAUCUAUUGUCGCCCAAUUUUCCUGUAAAAUAUUAAAUAAAGUUUUUUAUUUCAUUA